GGUUUGCAGGCAGUGUAGUUAGCUGAUUGUAUCCCUCAUCCCACAAUCACUAAUUUCACUGCCAUCAAAAC
Corvus brachyrhynchos (American crow) is the source of this 71-nucleotide microRNA precursor. It matches the Rfam family "mir-34 microRNA precursor family". Rfam says of the family: Human mir-34a was discovered computationally and later experimentally verified. The mature sequence is excised from the 5' arm of the hairpin. The record is from Rfam. Lineage: Eukaryota; Metazoa; Chordata; Aves; Passeriformes; Corvidae.